Molecule: non-coding RNA, 475 nt
Organism: Marmota flaviventris (yellow-bellied marmot)
Lineage: Eukaryota; Metazoa; Chordata; Mammalia; Rodentia; Sciuridae
Source: RefSeq, a predicted model, not a curated record
AUGUGUAGAGGUCGUUACAUUGGGGGCAGGAGUCCAGGUAGCCCUAACCAGGAGCUGCGGGUGGAUCAGGCUCCUGACGGGAAUGGAGUGGGAUUGUGACUGCCCAGGAUCACACCCCGAGCUCGAUGGUCCCAAAGCGUCAGACACCAGCUCAUCCGCCUUGCAGUCUCUCCCAGCUCAGCCUGGUGUUGGAAAGAGAAACAUGAAGGUCCCCACGGCAGAACAGUCACAUCCUAGAUGGUAGAAGGAAGCCAGUUUUCGGCGGACACAACCCAGGCUGCAUGCAUGCCAGGCGAGCGUGCUACCACUUGAGCCACAUCCCCAGCUCUCUUCACUGACAUUUGAUCCUUACAUCAAAUCCUUACCCUGAUUUUGAUCCUUACACAUUGUAUACUUGUAUUGAAAUACCACACUAUACUCCCUAAAUAUGUGUAAUUACUGUCAGUUAAAAAUGUAUUAAAAUAAAGCAGCACCU